RNAcentral lists this ribosomal RNA (413 nucleotides) under uncultured bacterium. Its description in RNAcentral is "bacterial SSU rRNA". It matches the Rfam family "Bacterial small subunit ribosomal RNA", at positions 505 to 916 of the family's 1533-position model. The record is from RNAcentral.
GUGCCAGAAGCAUCGGUAAUACGAAGGGUGCAAGCGUUACUCGGAAUUACUGGGCGUAAAGCGUGCGUAGGCGGUUGUUUAAGUCUGAUGUGAAAGCCCCGGGCUCAACCUGGGAAUGGCAUUGGAUACUGGACGGCUAGAGUGAGGUAGAGGGUGGUGGAAUUCCCGGUGUAGCGGUGAAAUGCGUAGAGAUCGGGAGGAACAUCUGUGGCGAAGGCGGCCACCUGGACCAUCACUGACGCUGAGGCACGAAAGCGUGGGGAGCAAACAGGAUUAGAUACCCUGGUAGUCCACGCCCUAAACGAUGCGAACUGGAUGUUGGCCACACUUAGGUGGUCAGUGUCNAAGCUAACGCGUUAAGUUCGCCGCCUGGGGAGUACGGUCGCAAGACUGAAACUCAUAGGAAUUGACGG